RNAcentral lists this ribosomal RNA (1374 nucleotides) under Triticum aestivum (bread wheat). RNAcentral's name for it is "partial small subunit ribosomal RNA". Lineage: Eukaryota; Viridiplantae; Streptophyta; Magnoliopsida; Poales; Poaceae. The record is from RNAcentral.
AUGGAGGCUCGCCACGUUAUUUAUUGGGGGUCUGGCAGGUUUCAAAGAUCUAUCUAUAAAUACGUACCUCCUGCUUUCAUUUUUCCUUGCCUUGGGGUGACGACGAGAAGAUCACGGGAGGAGACGGUGAGGGAAACCACGGUGCACACGGACGGCGGGAGGCGAGGCCGGCGCCGAGUUCGCGUCAAAGCACUCGCCGGAGGGGCUUCUCUUCUACUUUUUCUGGCCCAUCGCACCCGACCCGUUGCCCCAGUGGGUACAUCGGCCGUGGCGCUGCCGACUCCCUGGGCGUGUCCAUUGAGAUCUCCUGGUGAGUUGACUGCCUCCGAGUCGUUCCACAAGGGCGGAGCGACAGCUGUUGCGGCGAGGCAAGGUCCAGAGGAGAAGCUGACGUCGGCGCCGUCCAUUUCGGUGGCCGUGCGCGCCGCCGUUUGCCACGCCGUUUACUCCAGCGGCAUCGGCGGGCUCGCAUCGGAAUGCUCACCCUCCUCGGUGGCGGGGACGAGGCUAUCGUUGCUUGCCUCGAGCCGCUUUUUGCCCACCUCGGUCGUCCUAUCUACACGGGCCGGCCCGGCAGCGGCGAGCAGCAAAAUCGCCAGCGCCUGCGAGGUAGAUCCCGGGCUGGCGGCCACGGACGGUGGCGUGUUCUGCCCUUGCGCAAUGGCGGCGGCUCCUAUGUCGGCGUCGAGGAAGAAGAGGGUGGAGGGCGUGCCCUCCAAGAACCUGAUGGUCGAUUGGCGACGUCGCAAGUGCCUCAACAACCGUGAACAGUCUCUCCAUGCCAUACUCCGUCGUGACCAACAUCAUCAAAGAUUGACACAACGUCGAUCCUGGGGACGCGAUCGACUACAUGAAAAAGCUGCUGGAGAGGAUGUGGCGACUGCAGCAGGAGAUGGAGGAGGCGAACAUCCCCAAGGUGAGCAAUCUAGGCGACUAGGCCAUACUCUGUUGUCAACGGAGAGCUGGGACAUUCCUGCCGUAGAGCUUGAAACAAUGGUGAUAGAAGAGAAAUGUUGGCUGGUGGUUGCAGACUUGCAGUUCAAGGUGGUGCGCAAGGACGAGGCCCGCGGCCACGGGGACACCUGGGGUGGAGAUCUAAUGCACCGUCAAGCUGGGGCUCCUGCUAUCGACGAUGAGCAUGUUCGCUUGCCUACUUUCUUGACCCUCUCUUUACAGAUGCAUAAAUUCUUUCUUCUGAUCUACUUAAACACACUCUCACCUCUGGUCAUUGGCCACUCCCGAUCCCAACACAUGAUGAGUAGUGAAGUGGCAGGACUUGCCUUGAAUCCAACAGCCAUGAGAUCCAUGUGCCGAUCGAUGAUGCAAUUUUUCACACACAGCGAUCUUAGACCAUAUAUGUUUACUCAUGGGUAA